Molecule: ribosomal RNA, 497 nt
Filed under: uncultured bacterium
Lineage: Bacteria
Description: partial 16S ribosomal RNA
Rfam family: Bacterial small subunit ribosomal RNA
Source: RNAcentral
GACGAACGCUGGCGGCGUGCCUAAUACAUGCAAGUAGAACGCUGAAGAGAGGAGCUUGCUCUUCUUGGAUGAGUUGCGAACGGGUGAGUAACGCGUAGGUAACCUGCCUUGUAGCGGGGGAUAACUAUUGGAAACGAUAGCUAAUACCGCAUAACAAUGGAUGACCCAUGUCAUUUAUUUGAAAGGGGCAAAUGCUCCACUACAAGAUGGACCUGCGUUGUAUUAGCUAGUAGGUGAGGUAACGGCUCACCUAGGCGACGAUACAUAGCCGACCUGAGAGGGUGAUCGGCCACACUGGGACUGAGACACGGCCCAGACUCCUACGGGAGGCAGCAGUAGGGAAUCUUCGGCUAUGGGGGCAACCCUGACCGAGCAACGCCGCGUGAGUGAAGAAGGUUUUCGGAUCGUAAAGCUCUGUUGUAAGUCAAGAACGAGUGUGAGAGUGGAAAGUUCACACUGUGACGGUAGCUUACCAGAAAGGGACGGCUAACUACGUG